GGCAUACCUGUUCGAGCGUCAUUACACCCCUCAAAGAUAACUCUUUGGCGUUAGGCAAUGCCUAAAGGCAUGCCUCAAAAUCAGCGAUGGUGAUAUUCAACCACAGGCGCACACAUGUCUAGCUGGCGGGAUGUUGUCAGUCAAUUGAUGAAUUUCUAAAUGUUGACCUCGGAUCAGGUAGGAAUACCCGCUGAACUUAA
RNAcentral lists this unclassified non-coding RNA (200 nucleotides) under soil metagenome. Its description in RNAcentral is "partial contains internal transcribed spacer 2 and large subunit ribosomal RNA". The record is from RNAcentral.